Molecule: antisense RNA, 187 nt
Rfam family: Antisense RNA which regulates isiA expression
CAUAGUUAAAUAUUGCACCUGGAUUUAAGGUUGGAUUAGGUACAAGACGAACAUCUCCACCGCCAGGUGCCCAUGUAUCGUAUAUACCUCCAAAGAACAUCGCCUUGGCUACAAGUAAAAAUGCCCCAAUUCCAAGCAAUACUAAGUGUAUCCCUAAAAUCGUUGUCAUUUUAUUCUUAUCACGCCA